Long non-coding RNA from Haliotis rubra (blacklip abalone), 898 nucleotides. RefSeq lists it as uncharacterized. The transcript has 3 exons. The record is from RefSeq and is a predicted model, not a curated record. Lineage: Eukaryota; Metazoa; Mollusca; Gastropoda; Lepetellida; Haliotidae.
UACGGCAUUAAUAAACAAAUAAACAUGCAAAAUCUUUUUCUAAAGUUACAUCACUUGGUGUCGGUGAUAUGUUAGACAUUAUCAAUAUGAUGUAUAUUCCCAAAAGGUCAUGAAUUUCUAGAUGUAUGAAAAGUAGUACAGUUAGUGCUUGAUUUGUUCCAGGUGUAUUUAUUAGUAAUGUGAUAAUAAUCUUAUGUAAUGACCUUGCAGUUGACUGUUAUCAUGGUCUAACUGAAUUGUAGCCAUGGUCUAACUGAAUUGGGGCGUCAGUCUAAAUGAAUUGUAGCCACACAGUGUAUUAUAGUCAUGGUCUAAAUGUGAAUUAAUCCUGGUCGAGCUGCAUUGUUCCCGUUAUCUAUGUGAAUGGCAGCCCUGGUACAACAGUAAAAUAUGCACUAUCAUAUCAAGAUGUUUUAAAGUACGAAGUUUGUUUAUCGUUGAAGUCAGAGUUGAAGUUUACAAUCUCAUUGUUAGAUGAUUCAGGUUGCAGAAUGAAAUUCCACUGUUGAAAGUAUUUGUUUACUUAAUGAAUCUACACUUGCAAAGACAACUGCAGCAGGAUAACCAUGGCAACUGUUUAUUGUGGAGCAGUUCCCUGGCAACAACAAUCUGCAAGGGUAGACUAUGUAAACAGUAGAUCAGCCACUGUCUUCACCUGGGACAGAAGUCACAGACACUAAACAUACAGUGGGCAGAUGUAGGGAAGGGUAGACAGGCAGUGGACAGAAGUCACAGACACUGGACAUACAGUGGACAGAUGUAGGGAAGGGUAGACAGGCAGUGGACAGAAGUCACAGACACUAGACAUACAGUGGGCAGAUGUAGGGAAGGGUAGACAGGCAGUGGACAGAAGUCACAGACACUAGACAUACAGUGGGCAGAUGUAGGGAAGGGUAGA